AAUCAGCGCUCUCUCGAGUGCGCUACGCAGAAUGUCCCCAGCCUCAACGAACGCCGCCUCAUUGAGCUUCAGGUGCCGUUCAAGCGCCUUUUUGUCAUCCUGGAGCACCGCAAUCUGACAAGAACCAAACGAGCAACCACAUACUCCAGGGGCCCUAUGAUGGCAUCAAAGGGAACCACUUCCUCAUCUCUCUGGGCCGAGUGGAUCCUCCUGAGCGAUGCCUCAGCAGCGAACUGUGCAGACAACGCUUCCUUGCGCUCAUUGCAUAACCUUUUCACAUCCAGAUUCUGUCAUAUCAAAUUGAAUUUACCCGUCAUGUAACCGGAAAAGGAAGAAGAAUGGAGCUAGUUGAUUUGAUGUCAAAUCAAAUGAGCUACGCAAGUACUCCAUCCAUUCCUAAAUAUUUGUCUUUCUAGAGAUUUCAACAACUGACUACAUACAGAACAAAAUGAGUGAAUCUACACUCUAAAAUAUGUAUAUGUACAUCCGUAUGUGAUAGUCCAUUUGAAAUCUCUAAAAAGACAAAUAUUUAGGAACGAAAGGAGUAAGUACUAAGCAACCUUCUGUUCAAGCUGCUUCUCCAGGAUGCUCAGCUUCUCGUCCUGUUUCUUCAGCUCCUUGCUCAGCUGAAUGCAGACGUCAGGUAAAGUUAAGUCCAGGUUGCAUCCAGUUAGCAGUGUACAAGUUAACUUAACUUGCUAACUUAAGCUCAGAAGAAACAGAGCGCAAGUUAACUUGUAAACAACUCAAGGAAGCUGACCAGUGAAGCAAAUUAUACCUCA
Non-coding RNA from Triticum urartu, 782 nucleotides. Lineage: Eukaryota; Viridiplantae; Streptophyta; Magnoliopsida; Poales; Poaceae. The record is from RefSeq and is a predicted model, not a curated record.